AUAAACUUUUUUCGCUCCCGAAUGACAGCGAUCACAAAUUUGGGCUCAAACUUAAUGUGCUUUCGAAAAAGCGUUUGUAAGUCCCGGAGCCAAUGUCGUUUGAUAUACGAAUCAUGAAAUGUGACAUGUCAAUACCCGAUCUGCAUCUCCCAUUCAUUCAUCUGUUUACCACAUGCAUACUAAGUAAGCAGGGUUUUGCCUCGACUUGGUGGCGGGAGUGAUCAUAGCACCACCUUUUCUCAGGAUACAGCCUCGAAGUGAUCCAUCCGUGGUCGCUCGCAGUCGCUCGAAUAACGCCUACAUAUGCUAUUAAAGCGUCAUCACAAAAAGAUGAAGGAUAGGUUAUGGACGCUGCAGCUACAUUCCUGCACUAUCGGUGAGCCUUGACAAUGAAGCUUGAAAUCUGCGGCGCAUUUUCUUUCUUCUCACCCCUUUUGAGGACAGAUCCGUUUAAUUGAAUAUUUGUCCAUUUUCCUUUUCCAGCAAUUACAUUGUGCCAAAAGCUCUCUUGCACGUCUACGGAGGGCGCUAUCAAAAGAAUUGCACCGGCAAAAAGACAACUAGACAGCGUACGGCAGCCUAUAGUGACAAAUGUGUCAAAUAGGUUUUUUAUACUAGUGUUACAGUGUACACGCUCCAAUUAUAUUCAUUUUAUUUGUAGUCAAUUAGAGCUUAUUGGUUAGAUAUUUUAGCUCUAUAUUAUCUUAUGUCAUCAAGACUCACUAACCCUAUUGGUUAUAUGACAAAAUAGGGGUAAGAAUAGAGGUAAGAAUAGAGGCAAGAAUAGUGGUCAA
Molecule: small RNA, 794 nt
Filed under: Histoplasma capsulatum
Lineage: Eukaryota; Fungi; Ascomycota; Eurotiomycetes; Onygenales; Ajellomycetaceae
Also listed under: 1 other name
Description: hypothetical RNA
Source: RNAcentral